AUCAACGCUGGCGGCGUGCCUCAGACAUGCAAGUCGAACGAUUAAAGCUCUCUUCGGAGAGUGCAUAAAGUGGCGCACGGGUGAGUAACACGUAAGUAAUCUACCUCUGAGUGGGGAAUAACGUCCGGAAACGGACGCUAAUACCGCAUAAUGCAGCGGCAUCAUAAGAUGACAGUUGUUAAAGAUUUAUCGCUUAGAGAGGAGCUUGCGGCAGAUUAGCUAGUUGGUAAGGUAACGGCUUACCAAGGCUACGAUCUGUAACCGGUCUUAGAGGACGGUCGGUCACACUGACACUGAAUAACGGGUCAGACUCCUACGGGAGGCAGCAGUCGGGAAUUUUGGGCAAUGGGCGAAAGCCUGACCCAGCAACGCCGCGUGAAGGAUGAAGUAUUUCGGUAUGUAAACUUCGAAAGAAUAGGAAGAAUCAAUGACGGUACUAUUUAUAAGGUCCGGCUAACUACGU
RNAcentral lists this ribosomal RNA (463 nucleotides) under uncultured bacterium. RNAcentral's name for it is "bacterial SSU rRNA". It matches the Rfam family "Bacterial small subunit ribosomal RNA", at positions 32 to 506 of the family's 1533-position model. The record is from RNAcentral.